Neopelma chrysocephalum (saffron-crested tyrant-manakin) is the source of this 110-nucleotide small nucleolar RNA. RefSeq annotates it as small nucleolar RNA SNORA5. The record is from RefSeq and is a predicted model, not a curated record. The transcript has a single exon. NCBI's taxonomy places the organism in Eukaryota, Metazoa, Chordata, Aves, Passeriformes, Pipridae.
UGCAUCUCUUUUAAACUCAUUCCCUAUCUUCCAUGAUAGGGAAUAGCUCAGGUUUCAGCCUCACAAGCUCUGUAACACAGCUCUGCCAGAGAUAGCAGUGAUAGAUAGAA